RNAcentral lists this long non-coding RNA (808 nucleotides) under Glycine max (soybean). Its description in RNAcentral is "long non-coding RNA (GMAX_LNC003872)". The record is from RNAcentral. Lineage: Eukaryota; Viridiplantae; Streptophyta; Magnoliopsida; Fabales; Fabaceae.
UGGAACAAAACUAAGAAAAUUGCAUAACAGCAGGAACAAAACUAAGAAAUACUGCUUAUGCAUGUGCUAAACAGAUCCCUACCCACCCGUUACAUUCUUUUUUAUCAGGAAAAUUCUGGAAAGCCAAAAAAGUUUAUUCAAAUAGUUCAUCUUCGUCAUCAGGAAGAGGCUGAGGAGCCGCCCUACCUAUCUCUUUUUCAUUCCUGUAAAGCAGCACAUAAAUAACACACAUAAGGUUGAAUCAACCAAAGAAAAAAAUUAAAAAAGUGAGGAAGAACACCCUAUCAUAGAACUUGCAUCUGCCAUUGCUGAAUAAAACUUGCAGAGAAGACUGAAUGAUUAUUAAAUGAGAUUAGCUUAUAAUGAUUAGUCACUACCGCUGGUUAUAUAGUUAGUUGCUAGAAUAAUUAACUUUCAACUAACUAAGUAUCUCUAACUCAAGUUACAUGAUCAAAUUAAGAACUAAUCACCUUAGCUAACUCAUCUAACUCGGGUUUAUCAUAUAUGUACUCAAAUCACAGAAGAUAACAAAAAAAAUCACAGAAAAUAAAUUAGGAACGUACCAUGAAUAACAUUAAAUUAGGAACGUAAGAGAGGGUGGUGAAGGUGAAGGAGGCUAAGGGUGAGGAUGGAGGAUGGAGGGGGAGGUUGGUGCUUAUAAAGUUUGCUAUUGGAGGGGUGUACAUGGACUUGAAAAUCUCAUAAACCUUGUAUUUGUCAUUGUUGAAUGCAGAACUAACCAAGUAAACUUGCAGGAAAAGCUUAGAAAGAAAAAGGGAAGCAAUGACUGAAGUUCUAUGUAUUGAAA